CAGUCGCCACGGGAAUACGUAGGGUGCAAGCGUUAAUCGGAAUUACUGGGCGUAAAGCGUGCGCAGGCGGUUAUAUAAGACAGAUGUGAAAUCCCCGGGCUCAACCUGGGAACUGCAUUUGUGACUGUAUAGCUAGAGUACGGCAGAGGGGGAUGGAAUUCCGCGUGUAGCAGUGAAAUGCGUAGAUAUGCGGAGGAACACCGAUGGCGAAGGCAAUCCCCUGGGCCUGUACUGACGCUCAUGCACGAAAGCGUGGGGAGCAAACAGGAUUAGAUACCCGCGUAGUCCCUGUCUCUUAUAU
This 301-nucleotide ribosomal RNA is filed under the name uncultured bacterium. RNAcentral describes it as "partial 16S ribosomal RNA". It matches the Rfam family "Bacterial small subunit ribosomal RNA", at positions 509 to 809 of the family's 1533-position model. The record is from RNAcentral.